AUUGAACGCUGGCGGCAUGCCUUACACAGCAAGUUGAACGGCAGCACGGGAGCAAUCCUGGUGGCGAGUGGCGAACGGGUGAGUAAUAUAUCGGAACGUGCCCAGUCGUGGGGGAUAACGUAGCGAAAGCUACGCUAAUACCGCAUACGAUCUAUGGAUGAAAGCGGGGGAUCGCAAGACCUCGCGCGAUUGGAGCGACCAAUAUCAGAUUAGGUAGUUGGUGAGGUAAAGGCUCACCAAGCCGGCGAUCUGUAGCUGGUCUGAGAGGACGACCAGCCACACGGGGACUGAGACACGGCCCAGACUCCUACGGGAGGCAGCAGUGGGGAAUUUUGGACAAUGGGCGCAAGCCUGAUCCAGCAAUGCCGCGUGCAGGAUGAAGGCCUUCGGGUUGUAAACUGCUUUUGUACGGAACGAAACGGUGAGCUCUAAUACAGUUUGCUAAUGACGGUACCGUAAGAAUAAGCACCGGCUAACUACGUGCCAGCCGCCGCGGUAA
This 499-nucleotide ribosomal RNA is filed under the name uncultured bacterium. Its description in RNAcentral is "partial 16S ribosomal RNA". It matches the Rfam family "Bacterial small subunit ribosomal RNA", at positions 30 to 523 of the family's 1533-position model. The record is from RNAcentral.